UACAGAGGGGGCAAGCGUUGUUCGGAAUUACUGGGCGUAAAGGGCGCGUAGGCGGCCUUCUAAGUCGAACGUGAAAUCCCUGGGCUCAACCCAGGAACUGCGUCCGAUACUGGAAGGCUUGAAUCCGGGAGAGGGAUGCGGAAUUCCAGGUGUAGCGGUGAAAUUCGUAGAUAUUAGGAAGAACACCGGUGGCGAAGGCGGCCCACUGGACGGAUACUGACGCUGAGACACGAAAGCGUGGGGAGCAAACAGG
This 253-nucleotide ribosomal RNA is filed under the name uncultured bacterium. RNAcentral describes it as "partial 16S ribosomal RNA". It matches the Rfam family "Bacterial small subunit ribosomal RNA", at positions 524 to 776 of the family's 1533-position model. The record is from RNAcentral.